This 1369-nucleotide ribosomal RNA is filed under the name uncultured bacterium. RNAcentral's name for it is "bacterial SSU rRNA". It matches the Rfam family "Bacterial small subunit ribosomal RNA", at positions 28 to 1381 of the family's 1533-position model. The record is from RNAcentral.
GACGAACGCUGGCGGCGUGCCUAAUACAUGCAAGUAGAACGCUGAAGAGAGGAGCUUGCUCUUCUUGGAUGAGUUGCGAACGGGUGAGUAACGCGUAGGUAACCUGCCUUGUAGCGGGGGAUAACUAUUGGAAACGAUAGCUAAUACCGCAUAACAAUGGAUGACACAUGUCAUUUAUUUGAAAGGGGCAAUUGCUCCACUACAAGAUGGACCUGCGUUGUAUUAGCUAGUAGGUGAGGUAACGGCUCACCUAGGCGACGAUACAUAGCCGACCUGAGAGGGUGAUCGGCCACACUGGGACUGAGACACGGCCCAGACUCCUACGGGAGGCAGCAGUAGGGAAUCUUCGGCAAUGGGGGCAACCCUGACCGAGCAACGCCGCGUGAGUGAAGAAGGUUUUCGGAUCGUAAAGCUCUGUUGUAAGUCAAGAACGAGUGUGAGAGUGGAAAGUUCACACUGUGACGGUAGCUUACCAGAAAGGGACGGCUAACUACGUGCCAGCAGCCGCGGUAAUACGUAGGUCCCGAGCGUUGUCCGGAUUUAUUGGGCGUAAAGCGAGCGCAGGCGGUUUGAUAAGUCUGAAGUUAAAGGCUGUGGCUCAACCAUAGUUCGCUUUGGAAACUGUCAAACUUGAGUGCAGAAGGGGAGAGUGGAAUUCCAUGUGUAGCGGUGAAAUGCGUAGAUAUAUGGAGGAACACCGGUGGCGAAAGCGGCUCUCUGGUCUGUAGCUGACGCUGAGGCUCGAAAGCGUGGGGAGCGAACAGGAUUAGAUACCCUGGUAGUCCACGCCGUAAACGAUGAGUGCUAGGUGUUGGAUCCUUUCCGGGAUUCAGUGCCGCAGCUAACGCAUUAAGCACUCCGCCUGGGGAGUACGACCGCAAGGUUGAAACUCAAAGGAAUUGACGGGGGCCCGCACAAGCGGUGGAGCAUGUGGUUUAAUUCGAAGCAACGCGAAGAACCUUACCAGGUCUUGACAUCCCGAUGCUAUUUCUAGAGAUAGAAAGUUACUUCGGUACAUCGGUGACAGGUGGUGCAUGGUUGUCGUCAGCUCGUGUCGUGAGAUGUUGGGUUAAGUCCCGCAACGAGCGCAACCCCUAUUGUUAGUUGCCAUCAUUCAGUUGGGCACUCUAGCGAGACUGCCGGUAAUAAACCGGAGGAAGGUGGGGAUGACGUCAAAUCAUCAUGCCCCUUAUGACCUGGGCUACACACGUGCUACAAUGGUUGGUACAACGAGUUGCGAGUCGGUGACGGCAAGCUAAUCUCUUAAAGCCAAUCUCAGUUCGGAUUGUAGGCUGCAACUCGCCUACAUGAAGUCGGAAUCGCUAGUAAUCGCGGAUCAGCACGCCGCGGUGAAUACGUUCCCGGGCCU